AUGUGGGGUCCACAUGUCAGCUCUCUUCCUCCUUCUCUUCACUCCUCCUGCCUCUCUUCUUUCCCAGGAGGUCGAUGGAGCGCCGCCCGCCCCUCCUUCCACCUUGUCGGUGUCGGCCAGCCACUCCUCCGCCUCCACCACUGCCCGGAUUUCGCCCGGAUUCCGGCAGAGCACGCGGGGCCUGCGCGUGCUUCGCUCCUGCAGGAGAUGCAACUUGGCUACCGGCGUGCGGAGAGUAGGCGAAGGUGGGGGCGGUCCUGCUGCCGGCGGGGCACGGCGGCGCGGUGCCGGGACGAGCUCAGACGAGGCACGGCGGCGCGGUGCCGGGACGAGCUCAGACGAGGCAUCAAUGGCCGUGGCCAGCGAGCUUCGAGGCGGGAGAAGAAAGGGGGCAUGCGGCGGGUGGCGGGUGGCGGCAGGCGGCGGGUGGCGGCUGGAGUGCGGCGGUCGGCGGUGACCUCACCAGCGAUGAGGGCUACUGGCCGGCGACCCUCAUGGCGGCUGCUGGCGCACGGCCACGGGCGGGAUCUGAUUGCUUUUUUGAAAACUUUGUAG
RNAcentral lists this ribosomal RNA (555 nucleotides) under Triticum aestivum (bread wheat). RNAcentral describes it as "partial small subunit ribosomal RNA". The record is from RNAcentral. Lineage: Eukaryota; Viridiplantae; Streptophyta; Magnoliopsida; Poales; Poaceae.